RNAcentral lists this ribosomal RNA (582 nucleotides) under uncultured bacterium. Its description in RNAcentral is "bacterial SSU rRNA". It matches the Rfam family "Bacterial small subunit ribosomal RNA", at positions 868 to 1439 of the family's 1533-position model. The record is from RNAcentral.
CCCGCCUGGGGAGUACGGGCCGCAAGGCUAAAACUCAAAAGAAUUGACGGGGGCUCGCACAAGCGGUGGAGCAUGUGGCUUAAUUCGAUUGCAACGCGAAAAACCCUUACCGGGGCUUGACAUGGUAGAAGUAGGAACCCGAAAGGGUAACGAACGGUAUCCAGUCCGUAGCUAUCACAGGUGUUGCAUGGCUGUCGUCAGCUCGUGUCGUGAGACGUUGGGUUAAGUCCCCUAACGAGCGAAACCCUUGUUUUUAGUUACCAGCGGGUUGUGCCGGGUACUCUAGAAAGACUGCCGUCGUCAAGACGGAGGAAGGUGGGGAUGACGUCAAGUCAUCAUGGCCCUUAUGCCCCGGGCUGCACACGUGCUACAAUGGUCGGUACAAACGGAUGCGAAGCCGAGAGGUGAAGCGAAUCCUAAAAAGCCGAUCUCAGUUCGGAUUGGAGGCUGAAAUUCGCCUCCAUGAAGUUGGAAUCGCUAGUAAUCGCGGAUCAGCAGUGCCGCGGUGAAUAUGUUCCCGAGCCUUGUACACACCGCCCGCAAGCCACCCAAGCAGGAUGCACCCGAAAACAUUAUAUCUAA